This 492-nucleotide ribosomal RNA is filed under the name uncultured bacterium. RNAcentral's name for it is "bacterial SSU rRNA". It matches the Rfam family "Bacterial small subunit ribosomal RNA", at positions 30 to 507 of the family's 1533-position model. The record is from RNAcentral.
AUUGAACGCUGGCGGCAUGCCUUACACAUGCAAGUCGAACGGUAACAGGGAAAAGCUUGCUUUUCUGCUGACGAGUGGCGAACGGGUGAGUAAUACAUCGGAACGUGCCCUGUAGUGGGGGAUAACUACUCGAAAGAGUGGCUAAUACCGCAUACAACCUGAGGGUAAAAGUGGGGGGACCGCAAGGCCUCACGCUAUAGGAGCGGCCGAUGGAAGAUUAGGUAGUUGGUAGGGUAAAGGCCUACCAAGCCGACGAUCUUUAGCGGGUCUGAGAGGACGAUCCGCCACACUGGGACUGAGACACGGCCCAGACUCCUACGGGAGGCAGCAGUGGGGAAUUUUGGACAAUGGGGGCAACCCUGAUCCAGCAAUGCCGCGUGAGUGAAGAAGGCCUUCGGGUUGUAAAGCUCUUUUGUUUGGGAAGAAAUGCAUGGUGGCUAAUAUCCAUCAUGCUUGACGGUACCGCUAAAGGAAGCACCGGCUAACUCCGUG